This is a long non-coding RNA of Corapipo altera (White-ruffed manakin), 1013 nucleotides long. RefSeq lists it as uncharacterized. The transcript has 3 exons. NCBI's taxonomy places the organism in Eukaryota, Metazoa, Chordata, Aves, Passeriformes, Pipridae. The record is from RefSeq and is a predicted model, not a curated record.
CGGGUCACCAUGGCAACCGCCGGACCGCCCUCAGCGCGCCCAGGGAGCGGGGAAUUACUCACUUGAUUAGUUAAUUAACGAUUGCUGAAGGGGCUGGAGCAGAGUCUGUCGUUCUGAGCAGGGAAAGCGCCGUUAUGAGGCACCCUGAAGCGACAUUUACGUGUUAUUAGCAGGAUGUCGAGCGGCCCCGAGGUCCCCCUUUCUCCUGUGGGGAUAGAAAGGAUCCCCAGGCGUCUGCAGGCACGAGGGACUCGUCCAACUGGGAUUUUUCUCCAGCCCAUGGUAAGAUGGAUUUUCAGGGUCCCACGGAUCACGGGCCAGCUCUCCUGCUAGAGUUUUUGGGUGCUGGAUUGGAACCCAAAGAGCAAACUUAGUCAGGUCUGUUCUGGAGUGUGUUACACUUGUGCAAAGUUCCUUCCUUCUGUUUCUUUUCUGUUCUGGAAAGCACAGUCUGGGGGUCCCGGGCCCUUCCUAUGAAAUGUUGCCAUGGAAAUCAUUUUGUACUGAGAGGGGAAAGGAGCUGUCUGUUGGAGGUCAGAUGUCCACGAUAAAAGCUCGAUGUUUUUUCAGUCAGCGAGCUCUUAAAAUCUCUUAGUGUGUGGGAAUGCCUGGCUUCUAAAACUCACCAGCUGAGUCUGAGAGGCUUCUUUGCAGAGCUGAUUUCAGGCAGCAGAAUUGGCCCCCAGCAGGGACUCUGUGCCUGCUCUCCCGUGGCUCCAAGGGAUCUCUGGGCCUUCACGCCGGCACCGAGAUUUUCUCGGGAAGGGCCUCAGAUCCCCGGAGCGGUCUGGGACACAGGCAAGAUCCCCCUGCCUUUAGAAAUGAGGCCUUCUUGUGGCUUCCUACCCGUCCACGUUGGGUGGGUUCCAAAGAAGGACUCUUGAAAUGCCUUUUGGGCUGUCUACUGAAAGCUUGGGACCAAAUUGGGCCCCCUGGAGGGACAGUGCUGUUGGUGCCCCCCGGGUUGGGGCACCCCGAGGACUCCAGCGCACACUGAAAGGAUUAUUCGGGGA